Molecule: long non-coding RNA, 910 nt
Filed under: Mus musculus (house mouse)
Lineage: Eukaryota; Metazoa; Chordata; Mammalia; Rodentia; Muridae
Description: long non-coding RNA chr17:35345852-35346762
Source: RNAcentral
AGCUGCCUGGAGUAGACUGAGUGACAGCCAGUGUGUUCAGGUCUCUCCUGUGACAUCAAGAGUCUUUAGACAUCAGCUUUCUUUAGAAAAUGGUGUCUCAUGUUCUCUGCCACACCAACCCCAGUAGCAGCCAUGUGACAAGUUGCACAGACUGAGGUAUACUUCAAAAGAAGGAGGCCUCCUGGAACCAGUUGUGGAACUCUUGGCCAGAGUAUUAUAUUGAGUCAUAGUUCUCAUGGCAAUUGAUUUAUUUUGUUUUCGCUUAUUCCUUUUCUUAUUUACAUGUUCCUGGUAGCCUAGGCUAAGAUUUUAAGUGAAAGUAAUGGGUUAGAAACCAUCCCUAGAGAUGGGGUCACUAACAUGACCUUAUCUGGGGAAACCAACUCUUUACUUUUGAAAUUAUUUACAAAAUUAUAUAAUAGUAUUAUGACAGAUAAAAACUUUUCCAACAAUAAAAUUUCAUGUGGCUACAUGUGUGUUAUUGGAGGUGGGCUUUGGCAUAUGGUAAAGAAAAUCUUAAAUAAAAAGAAUUAACCUAGUUUAAAUUUAAGCACUGAAAAAAAUCAGGCAUUAGAUGUUAAAUAAUAAUUGACCAUAAAGAUUUAUUAACAUAUCUUGAACAUAUGCCAGUUGCCUUGGAUGACUGCCGCACUGCUUAGAUUCUUUUAGAGUUGUUAUACUUCAAUCAUUUCUACUCCUCAUGAUGUCACCUGUUCUGUUUGUGAUUCACUGAACCCAUCUUUACAGAGUUGUAAUGUUUUCUUGGUUUUUGUGCUUUACUGUGCAUAAUGGUAAUGAUGGUAUUUGUGAUUGCUUCACUGGACACAUCUUCAAAGUGUUGUAAUAUUUGCUCUUUUAAUGUUUAAAAACCCCUGCUUGAGAGCUGCAAAAUACAAUCAGAUUCAUACUG